RNAcentral lists this ribosomal RNA (387 nucleotides) under uncultured bacterium. RNAcentral's name for it is "bacterial SSU rRNA". It matches the Rfam family "Bacterial small subunit ribosomal RNA", at positions 28 to 417 of the family's 1533-position model. The record is from RNAcentral.
GACGAACGCUGGCGGCGUGCUUAACACAUGCAAGUCGAGCGGUAAGGCCCUUUCGGGGGUACACGAGCGGCGAACGGGUGAGUAACACGUGGGUGACCUGCCCUCAGCUCUGGGAUAAGCCCGGGAAACUGGGUCUAAUACCGGAUAUGACUCCAUGACGCAUGUUGUGGGGUGGAAAGCCCUGUGCGGCUGAGGAUGGGCCCGCGGCCUAUCAGCUUGUUGGUGGGGUGAUGGCCACCAAGGCGACGACGGGUAGCCGGCCUGAGAGGGCGACCGGCCACACUGGGACUGAGAUACGGCCCAGACUCCUACGGGAGGCAGCAGUGGGGAAUCUUGCGCAAUGGGCGAAAGCCUGACGCAGCGACGCCGCGUGAGGGAUGACGGCCU